GUGCGUGCUCGCGGUGGGCGGUGGCGGCGGCUGCCUCGCGAAGGUUCCAGAUCCGUCGCGUGCAGAAGGCGGGCCGCGGUCUUGCGCAGGGUCGGUGUGGGCGCAGGCUGCGGCGCCGCGACUCGUGCGGGUAGGCGUCUGCGCUCGGUUUGAGGGCUCGGCGCGGCGUUUCCUGUUCCUUCCUCUGCGCGGCUGCAGCUCGGGACUUCGGCCUGACCCAGCCCCCAUGGCUUCAGAAGAGCUACAGAAAGAUCUAGAAGAGGUAAAGGUGUUGCUGGAAAAGGCUACUAGGAAAAGAGUACGUGAUGCCCUUACAGCUGAAAAAUCCAAGAUUGAGACAGAAAUCAAGAACAAGAUGCAACAGAAAUCACAGAAGAAAGCAGAACUUCUUGAUAAUGAAAAACCAGCUGCUGUGGUUGCUCCCAUUACAACGGGCUAUACGGUGAAAAUCAGUAAUUAUGGAUGGGAUCAGUCAGAUAAGUUUGUGAAAAUCUACAUUACGUUAACUGGAGUUCAUCAAGUUCCCACUGAGAAUGUGCAGGUGCAUUUCACAGAGAGGUCAUUUGAUCUUUUGGUAAAGAAUCUAAAUGGGAAGAGUUACUCCAUGAUUGUGAACAAUCUCUUGAAACCCAUCUCUGUGGAAGGCAGUUCAAAAAAAGUCAAGACUGAUACAGUUCUUAUAUUGUGUAGAAAGAAAGUGGAAAACACAAGGUGGGAUUACCUGACCCAGGUUGAAAAGGAGUGCAAAGAAAAAGAGUGAGUCUACUUUCAUUUUUUUAAAGAAUUUUAGUGUAUUGUUUGAGA
This 804-nucleotide small RNA is filed under the name Pongo abelii (Sumatran orangutan). RNAcentral describes it as "retained intron". The record is from RNAcentral. Lineage: Eukaryota; Metazoa; Chordata; Mammalia; Primates; Hominidae.